RNAcentral lists this long non-coding RNA (288 nucleotides) under Salvia miltiorrhiza (redroot sage). Its description in RNAcentral is "long non-coding RNA (SMIL_LNC009992)". Lineage: Eukaryota; Viridiplantae; Streptophyta; Magnoliopsida; Lamiales; Lamiaceae. The record is from RNAcentral.
UAUAUCCACAAGAUAUUUUUGCUACUGAUUAUAUGAAAUUUUAAAGCUAGUAUAUGAAAUUAAAUAAAAAUAAUGAUAAAUUUAUGAACAUACACAAUUAAAAACAUAAAAAAAUAAAAACAGUUUUACAAUUGUAAACGUGAACUUCAAGAUCGUGAAGUUCUAUUCUUUGUUCCGGAAGUUCAUCUUUUGACAUAUGGUACAAAAAUCACCCCCUUAAUUGUAAAAUGUGUAUGAAGAUAGUGCAUUUAAAUUAAAAAAAAAAAAAACUAUAGAUUCCAUAUAAAU